Molecule: ribosomal RNA, 433 nt
Filed under: uncultured bacterium
Lineage: Bacteria
Description: partial 16S ribosomal RNA
Rfam family: Bacterial small subunit ribosomal RNA
Source: RNAcentral
AACGAACGCUGGCGGCAUGCCUAACACAUGCAAGUCGAACGAGACCUUCGGGUCUAGUGGCGCACGGGUGCGUAACGCGUGGGAAUCUGCCCUUGGGUUCGGCAUAACAGUUGGAAACGACUGCUAAUACCGGAUGAUGACGUAAGUCCAAAGAUUUAUCGCCCAAGGUUGAGCCCGCGUAGGAUUAGCUAGUUGGUGAGGUAAAGGCUCACCAAGGCGACGAUCCUUAGCUGGUCUGAGAGGAUGAUCAGCCACACUGGGACUGAGACACGGCCCAGACUCCUACGGGAGGCAGCAGUGGGGAAUAUUGGACAAUGGGCGAAAGCCUGAUCCAGCAAUGCCGCGUAAGUGAUGAAGGCCUUAGGGAUGUAAAGCUCUUUUACCCGGGAUGAUAAUGACAGUACCGGGAGAAUAAGCUCCGGCUAACUCCGUG